GCGCCCGUAGCUCACGUGGAUAGAGCGACGGACUUCGAAUCCGUAGGCAGCCUGUUCGAGUCAGGCCGGGCGCA
This 74-nucleotide transfer RNA is filed under the name Spirochaetia bacterium. Its description in RNAcentral is "tRNA-Arg". It matches the Rfam family "tRNA". Rfam says of the family: Transfer RNA (tRNA) molecules are approximately 80 nucleotides in length. Their secondary structure includes four short double-helical elements and three loops (D, anti-codon, and T loops). Lineage: Bacteria; Pseudomonadati; Spirochaetota; Spirochaetia. The record is from RNAcentral.